This is a long non-coding RNA of Mus musculus (house mouse), 2433 nucleotides long. RefSeq annotates it as predicted gene, 34560. NCBI's taxonomy places the organism in Eukaryota, Metazoa, Chordata, Mammalia, Rodentia, Muridae. The transcript has 3 exons. The record is from RefSeq and is a predicted model, not a curated record.
GAAGCGGACCUUCUCGAUGUAGCUAGCAAAGCGGUCAUUGAGCUCCAUCAUCUCUGCACGCUCGCUCGCCCGUGUCUCCUUGAAGCCAGCAUUGAGCGCCCCGGCCAGGGAGAAGUCCACCCUGGCAGGGAGUGGAGGAGUCAUUCGAGACAAGGAGAAGCGUGGCAUGGUACCCAGUUGUCGACUAGGACCGAGGCCCCUGACCACCGUCUCGGAGGCAUAGGAGCGGCGCGCAGAGGUGAUGCGUCUCCGCUCCAUCCUGCCCUGCCUCUGCUGGCUCCUGGGAUGUCAGGGCCUUUAUGGAGGAACGGGUUGGACUAAAUCUGCCCCUGACUUCCUGGAAGCACCCCCAUUGAAUAGCCUGAGGGGGUGGAGCUGGGCCCCAGCCCAGCUAGGGGGAGAACUCCUCUCACCCCACUGAGGUCACUGUACCCAGAGUCAAGGCUUUCUUGGGAACACCAGCCUGGCUUCGCCAUUGAUCAAGGAACCCCCUUUCUGGUAAAUGGGUCAAGAGAGGGCCGAGGGAACAGCUUAGUCCAUAAAUUGCUUGCCUGUCAAGCAUGAAGACCCACCCAAGUUCUAGCUGCAGAAUGAAUACAAAAGGCCUGGGUUGACAGUGCAUACUUGUAAACUCCAGUGCUGGGCAGUGAAAAUCAGCAGACUUCCUGGCUCUCACUAAUUGGCGAGUUCCAGAUCCAGAGAGAAAUGCUCUCUCAGAAAACCAAGGCAACAGUGCCUGAGGUUGACCUCUGGUCUCAACACAUGUAUGUGCACACACAUGAACAUUUGUGUGAUAAGUGUGCACGAGCGCACACACAGAGACAGAGACAGAGAGUGCACAGCUCGGUGGGGUAAUCAGCUUCCAGUUCUUAGAGCCUGUAAGCCAGGACCACCCCAACUCUGUCCUUCUCUGGGGGCCUGUGAGAUGCUAGGAACUUGAAGAACCUAUUCCCUUCCUCCGGGAUCAACCUAUAUUACAGUUUCCUGUGACCCCCAUUCUCAACAGAGUCCUCUCCCCUGAAUCUCUCCAACUCUAUCUUCUCAUUCCUGGAGUUCAGGAGUGGAGGGCUAAGGUUGGAGCCCUCUCUGUGACUCCAGGGUCAACUUGAGCCUCUGGCUGUGUGUUUAGAGUGCACGGCAGAAGGUAUGCACGCAGAUCCUAAUAGGGUAAGACAGCAGGCUUCAUUCCUGAGCCCCUCUGUGGCCUCUUAUCCAGCCUAGUGGGCCAUUUCUCCCUGAUCCAGCUUCUCGUUGCCCCCCACCCCCCACCCCGAGCCUGGCCCCUGGCAGCCCCUGACAGAGUAGUUUUGAAUGAGUUGGCUGUGCAUGCUGGAGUCUUUCUUUCUGUAACACCCCGUCUUCCUGGGUACCCCUCAUUCUCUCAGGAGAUUUACCCCCUUUAAAUUCCUACACACCAGGCCUCUGAGGGAUAUGUAGGUCCGGGAAACCAAACCCCACCCUCACCAAUGGCGGGGAGGAGGCUGUUGCUGCUUGAGACUUCAGGCCCAUCUAUCUCUUCCACUCAGGUCCCUCUCCCAGGCGCCUUAGCCAUCUGUGUCCUUGGGCUUCUGGAACACAGACAGCUCUGCUCCCCCCAACCCCUGCCUUCCUCUGCCCAUGCUUGGGCUUCUGGUGUCUACUCCAGGGUACUCGCUGAAUAGAGCCUUGUUCUCUGCCGCCAGUGAGGCAUAUGGCAAGGGCAGCCCCGUGGGCUGCUUUUAUCCCAGGAUGCCAGGAUGUCAGCCCCGGGUGCAGUACAAGCUCCCAGCUCAAUAGACUUCUCGGAAAGCAUCGAAGGAGGCCUGGAGCACAGCGGGAAGCAGGCUGCGUGCCCACCCCUGACCAUUAUGUCUAUGCCAAGAACUAUGGCAAGCCAGCAUGGCAGGACAUGCCUUUGGCCAGAGGAUCACUUUGAGUUCCAGGCCAGCUUGGUCUACAUAAUGAGUUCCAAGACAGACAGCACUCCAUAGACAGAUCCUGUCUCAAGGAAACAAGCAAGCAAGCACACAAAUACAAAAAAAGUAUGAAAGUCCAGACCACAUGAUUCUAUCUGGUACCAGGAACCCUCAAGCAGAGGCCAGAGCCAUGAGAGCAUUGCAGGAAGACUCUGGAAACAGCCGACUGCCUCUGCACCCAAAGGGUGGUAGCGAUGACCAGAAGGGGUAAUGUAUGUGAAGACCCCAGGAAAUGGAGAAGUUAUUCCAUCGGAAUCUAGCCAUCACUCAGCAAGGCCUCCUGAAGGGAAAGCGCUGUGCCAAGCUGCCAUGGGAUACAGAUGUGCAUCUGUGAUGGCUUCGAGGGAGCUGUGGUACACAGGGGAGCAAACUCAUUAAGACUAAUUGGAGAGGCGGGAACCCUGUGCCUGAGAGAGAGAAAUGAUGUCUGUUCACUUCAAAAAAGGAAGCCGUCCUGUUAUGUAAAAAUCAGAAUGUG